Molecule: transfer RNA, 64 nt
Filed under: Hiratettix distanti
Lineage: Eukaryota; Metazoa; Arthropoda; Insecta; Hemiptera; Cicadellidae
Also listed under: 2 other names
Description: tRNA-Leu
Source: RNAcentral
AAUAAAUUGACAGAUUAUGUAUUAAAUUUAGAAUUUAAUUAAGUGGUAUAAUCCACAUUUAUUA